UCUACGUCCCUCAACAGGGUCUCUCGAAUCCAGGCUCAUUUCUUCAGCUGACCGUUGUCGUCUCGUCUGGAGAACCACACUCAUCCUAAAUGGCCUCAUGGCUCCAGUCUUUCUUCUACAGGAGCCAGUCUGCCUUCCAUACCACUAACAAAGUAAUGGAAAGAACAUCAGCUCCUGUCACCCUUCCCCUUCACUGAAAGCUUCUCAUUGGCUUUCUGCUGCCUGGAGUGUAAAUUCUGAAUGCCUUAGCUCAUCAUAGGAGGCCUUGUAGAGUCUGCUUCAUGCCUGCUGCCCUAGUCUUAUUGCUUAUCAGCCUGCCCCCCGGCCCCCAUACAGCCUAAGCUCCAGCCACAGUGAUGUCCUCACCAUUGCCUCAUGCUCUGGUCUUCCGGGAUUCCAGCCUCAACAUGCACGUCUUCAUCACAUUUGUCCAGCUGAAGUACAGCAGUGCUGUUUGGGUGAUUGUUGCUCUGUGAUGCCAAGCUGUUUUAGAAAAAUGUCAUGAUGCCUGGUCACACCUACUACCGCAGAGACAAGCCCAGAAGUUAAAUUAGGAAGCAAACGUAAGCUUUGAAGAACUUUUUAUUUAAUCUGUAUUCCCCUGUUUCAUCUGCACAUCCAUCCAGCACAAUCUGCAUCAUUAUUAGCCACAUCAACUCGCUAAAAAAAGGGGGGGGGGUAAAAAGUAAGACAUCUGUGUUAUAGCAUUAAUAUAUUCAAAGGUUUUUACUUUCAUCUUGCAGGCAUUAACAGGGUGUAAAUGCAAUAUAAGCGCAAUUUACAACAGCACUAAGUUAGCAGAAGAAAAAACGUACUUGGGAGUCACGCAAAAGAAGGGAGCCUGCAAAAAGAAAAAAAAAAAAAAGCAAAGGUAUGUUUGUGUGGAAGGGACAAGCAGGUCAGGAAUUAUGUAAAAAGCAGAGUUUUAUCUGUAAAUAGAGUAUUUUGCCUAUUGCUCUUUCCUAGCUUUCUUUCUAAUUGCUAGCACAAUUUCUAAGGCACUGAGGCAACCCU
This 1014-nucleotide long non-coding RNA is filed under the name Sus scrofa (pig). RNAcentral describes it as "lncRNA (ENSSSCG00025044023.1)". The record is from RNAcentral. Lineage: Eukaryota; Metazoa; Chordata; Mammalia; Artiodactyla; Suidae.